Molecule: long non-coding RNA, 334 nt
Filed under: Elaeis guineensis (African oil palm)
Lineage: Eukaryota; Viridiplantae; Streptophyta; Magnoliopsida; Arecales; Arecaceae
Description: long non-coding RNA (EGUI_LNC015741)
Source: RNAcentral
UUAUAAUUACUUCAAUGCAGACAAACACCCACAUAUAUACAUACAUAAUAUGUAUACAUACAUACAUACAUACAUACAUACAUACAUACAUACAUAUACACAUGCAUACAUGUAUGUGUCUAUAAAUAUUUAAUGUUAAGUCCGUAUUUUGGUUUGUAUGGUGUAAAGCAAUAAACGGUAGCAUCUUGAAUGUCCUCAAAUGUUAUAAAAAGGACAACUACAAGGAAAGCAUGCCGAUGCAUUGCCUCUCUAACUGGAUACCAGCAGUUGCUAGAAUGGUGGGAGAAAAUAAAGAUCAGAAAGGUCAGAAACUAGUAAUGCCUGCAAAACUUGG